UAAUACGUAGGGACCAAGCGUUGUUCGGAUUUACUGGGCGUAAAGGGCGCGUAGGCGGCUUGUCAAGUCACUUGUGAAAUCUCUGGGCUUAACCCAGAACGGCCAAGUGAAACUGUCAUGCUAGAGUGCAGAAGGGGCAAUCGGAAUUCUUGGUGUAGCGGUGAAAUGCGUAGAUAUCAAGAGGAACACCUGAGGUGAAGACGGGUUGCUGGGCUGACACUGACGCUGAGGCGCGAAAGCCAGGGGAGCAAACGGGAUUAGAUAC
RNAcentral lists this ribosomal RNA (265 nucleotides) under uncultured bacterium. RNAcentral describes it as "partial 16S ribosomal RNA". It matches the Rfam family "Bacterial small subunit ribosomal RNA", at positions 521 to 785 of the family's 1533-position model. The record is from RNAcentral.